UCCUGGCUCAGGAUGAACGCUAGCGGCAGGCUUAAUACAUGCAAGUCGUGGGGCAGCAUGAGUAGCAAUACUUGAUGGCGACCGGCAAACGGGUGAGGAACACGUACACAACCUUCCUUCAAGCGGGGAAUAGCCCAGAGAAAUUUGGAUUAAUACCCCAUAAUAUAUUUGAUAAGGCAUCUUAUUAAUAUUAAAGCUUCGGCACUUGAUGAUGGGUGUGCGGCUGAUUAGAUAGUUGGCGGGUAACGGCCCACCAAGUCUACGAUCAGUAGCUGAUGUGAGAGCAUGAUCAGCCACACGGGCACUGAGACACGGGCCCGACUCCUACGGGAGGCAGCAGUAAGGAAUAUUGGAUAAUGGACGAAAGUCUGAUCCAGCCAUGCCGCGUGAAGGAUUAAGGUCCUCUGGAUUGUAAACUUCUUUUAUAUGGGACGAAAAAGGGCAUUCUUGUUCACUUGACGGUACCAUAUGAAUAAGCACCGGCUAACUCCGUG
This 494-nucleotide ribosomal RNA is filed under the name uncultured bacterium. RNAcentral describes it as "bacterial SSU rRNA". It matches the Rfam family "Bacterial small subunit ribosomal RNA", at positions 17 to 507 of the family's 1533-position model. The record is from RNAcentral.